Molecule: non-coding RNA, 26 nt
Filed under: Mus musculus (house mouse)
Lineage: Eukaryota; Metazoa; Chordata; Mammalia; Rodentia; Muridae
Source: RNAcentral
UGGCACAAUGGCUGACAUAUAUUAGA